AACGAACGCUGGCGGCAGGCUUAACACAUGCAAGUCGAGCGCCCCGCAAGGGGAGUGGCAGACGGGUGAGUAACACGUGGGAACGUGCCCUUCGCUUCGGGAUAGCCUCGGGAAACUGGGAGUAAUACCGAAUACGCCGUAUUGGGAAAGAUUUAUCGGCGAAGGAUCGGCCCGCGUUGGAUUAGCUAGUUGGCGGUGUAAUGGACCACCAAGGCUACGAUCCAUAGCUGGUCUGAGAGGACGACCAGCCACACUGGGACUGAGACACGGCCCAGACUCCUACGGGAGGCAGCAGUGGGGAAUCUUGGACAAUGGGCGCAAGCCUGAUCCAGCCAUGCCGCGUGAGUGAAGAAGGCCUUAGGGUUGUAAAACUCUUUUCGCCGGUGAAGAUAAUGACGGUAACCGGAGAAGAAGCCCCGGCGUAACUUCGUGCCAGCAGCCGCGGUAAU
Molecule: ribosomal RNA, 449 nt
Filed under: uncultured bacterium
Lineage: Bacteria
Description: bacterial SSU rRNA
Rfam family: Bacterial small subunit ribosomal RNA
Source: RNAcentral